UUUUUUUAAUUUAAUUUUUUUAUAUGUAUGUGUUUUGCCUGUGUGUAUUGUAUGUACACCAUGUGUGUCUUGUGUCUUUAAAGGUCAGAAGAUAGUAUCAGAUCCUCUGGAACUGGAGGUAAAUAGGUUAUGAGCCACCCUGUGGGUGUUGGAAACCAAACCCAGGUCCCCUGCAAGUAACAGGAAGUGUUCUGAACUGUGAGCCAUCUCUCCAACUACUCGACCAGUAUUUUUAUUUGUGCAUUUGUGUACUGUUUUUCUGAAUCACUUAGGUUUAGAAAGCCAUAGAGUGCUGUGAAGAAACUGGGUGUUAUUAAACUGUGAAAGAUGAAGACACUCUGGAAUAGUGUGCAUGUGAACAGUCUGCAGUCUCAGGGACACGUGAUUGGCCGUGGGGUUCUGAAGAAAGCCAGAGGAAAAGCUCAUUGUACAUAUGAAGUGAAAUUGGAAUUAUGGUUCCUGGGAUCCACGGCUGAGAGCAUGUGACCAGUUCUUCAGGACAGCUGAGUUGAAUGCUAUAUUUUUAUCCUCAC
This is a non-coding RNA of Myodes glareolus (Bank vole), 533 nucleotides long. Lineage: Eukaryota; Metazoa; Chordata; Mammalia; Rodentia; Cricetidae. The record is from RefSeq and is a predicted model, not a curated record.